This 200-nucleotide long non-coding RNA is filed under the name Lathyrus oleraceus (garden pea). RNAcentral describes it as "Pisum sativum (pea) long non-coding RNA (PSAT_LNC026928)". The record is from RNAcentral. Lineage: Eukaryota; Viridiplantae; Streptophyta; Magnoliopsida; Fabales; Fabaceae.
AACCCCGAAGAUGAACCCCGAUAUGAAUGACAACCGUCAUAAAUGAACCCCGAAGAUGAACCCCAAGUGAAUAACAAUCACCACGCACACUCUGAACAAACGGGUACUCACACCAAAACAAAGAAAAGGGUGAACACACACACACACAAAAAAACAAAAGGGUGAACAAACAGAGACUCAACAAAAAAGGGUGAACAAAC